Molecule: long non-coding RNA, 810 nt
Filed under: Anas platyrhynchos platyrhynchos (common mallard)
Lineage: Eukaryota; Metazoa; Chordata; Aves; Anseriformes; Anatidae
Description: lncRNA (ENSAPLG00000019555.1)
Source: RNAcentral
UUCUGUUUGUGGUCAUAUUUCAAUGCCUUGUAUUUUUGUAUUGAAAUGUAUUGAAAUUAUAUUUUUGUAUUGAAAAUACUUCUAUACUGCAAACACGGGUACAGUGAAGAAAACUGCUUUACUGGUUUCCAAAUGUUAAUGGCACUGUUAAUUCUAUAGAUUUAGACUUCCAUGCUUAGGUGUCUGAUAUAAAGCUUACUAAUGACAAGGGAAAGGCUGCUGUUCAGUUUGAAUUGGUUGAAUCGGGAACUUAAUAUGAUCUACUAUAAUGAAAGAAGAUAUUAAAUUAUAUGGAACAACAAGAUUUUAGAAACCCUAUUGUCUGUCAGUAGGUUACUUUUUGAACUAUGUAUCUUGAUUUUCAGACGUUUACAGAUAAUGUGUUUAUUUUUGUACAGGCUACCAUUAAAAUAAUAUUAUUCCCCACCUUUUCUUUACAGUAAAGUGAAAUGAGAGGAAUUUCAUUGUUUGUUAUAGGAGAACAAGUCAGGAUUGCUGGGAGGAGGACAAGGAGGCUGAUUACUUGUGCAUGUUGAAGAACCUGCAGUAUUAAGCUGGACCAUAUUGUACAAAUUAAUGAGUUUCCAAGAAUCUGACAGUGCUGUUUUUCCAGGGAAGCUUCAGUCUUGCAGGAACAAAACCAGACACAGAACUUGGAACGUAGCUGGCUUCAAGGGGCCAAUCCUGAGGAAGAGAAUUUUGUGGGGAAUCUGGAUGGAUCUGGACCACCAACUACAGGGGUAGUGUUACAAAUUCCUGUUCAUGACUUGCUUAAAAUGAGGUUUUAAUCUUUCCUGCAGAGGAAAAAAU